CCUACGGGUGGCAGCAGUGGGGAAUAUUGGGCAAUGGGCGCAAGCCUGACCCAGCAACGCCGCGUGAAGGAAGAAGGUUUUCGGGUUGUAAACUUCCUUUAAGAGGGAAGAGCAGAAGACGGUACCUCUUGAAUAAGCCACGGCUAACUACGUGCCAGCAGCCGCGGUAAUACGUAGGUGGCAAGCGUUGUCCGGAUUUACUGGGUGUAAAGGGCGUGUAGCCGGGCUGACAAGUCAGGUGUGAAAUCCAGUGGCUCAACCACGGAACUGCAUUUGAAACUGUCGGUCUUGAGUAUCGGAGAGGCAGGCGGAAUGCCUGGUGUAGCGGUGAAAUGCAUAGAUAUUAGGAAGAACACCAGUGGCGAAGGCGGCCUGCUGGACGACAACUGACGGUGAGGCGCGAAAGCGUGGGGAGCGAACAGGAUUAGAUACCCGAGUAGUC
RNAcentral lists this ribosomal RNA (442 nucleotides) under uncultured bacterium. Its description in RNAcentral is "partial 16S ribosomal RNA". It matches the Rfam family "Bacterial small subunit ribosomal RNA", at positions 338 to 795 of the family's 1533-position model. The record is from RNAcentral.